This 502-nucleotide ribosomal RNA is filed under the name uncultured bacterium. RNAcentral describes it as "partial 16S ribosomal RNA". It matches the Rfam family "Bacterial small subunit ribosomal RNA", at positions 30 to 523 of the family's 1533-position model. The record is from RNAcentral.
AUUGAACGCUGGCGGUAUGCUUAACACAUGCAAGUCGAACGGCAGCACAGUAUGUAGCCAUGCAUAUGGGUGGCGAUUGGCGGACGGGUGAGUAACGCGUAGGAAUCUACCCUAAAGCGGGGGACAACACGAGGAAACUCGGGCUAAUACCGCAUAAUACAGAAAGGAUAAAGCUGGGGCAACCUGGCUAUUUUGGGCGAGCCUGCGUCCGAUGAGCUAGUGUGUGAGGUAAAGGCUCACCAAGGCGAUGAUCGGUAGCUGGUCUGAGAGGAUGAUCAGCCACAAUGGAACUGAGACACGGGCCAGACUCCUACGGGAGGCAGCAGUGGGGAAUAUUGGACAAUGGGGGCAACCCUGAUCCAGCGAUACCGCGUGUGUGAAGAAGGCCUUAGGGUUGUAAAGCACUUUAGUUGGGGAAGAAGGAUAGAUGUUUAAGAGAUGAUUAUUUUGACGGUACCCAAAGAAGAAGCACCGGCUAACUCUGUGCCAGCAGCCGCGGUAA